AAGGCAAAACGGCUUAUCGCGGGUGGAUGUAUGUUCAUUUGAGGAAAGUCCGGGCAACAUAGAGUAAUGUACCUUUGGAAACAAAGGGUGUAUGCGUUGAAAAACGAAUACAACAGCAAGUGUAACAGAAAAUAACCGUUUGCUUUGGCAAAUAAGGGUGAAAAAGUGAGGUAAGAGCUCACACGCUUGAAUAGUAAUAUUCAUUCGGUACAAACCUUACAUGUUGUAAAACCAAGUAAACUACAGAUUUAGAGCUACUCGUUCUAAUGCUUGUUUAUUCAAGAUGCUGUAGAGGGUAGGUUGCAUAGAUAAAUGAUAAGCUCAUUCGCCUUGGCGAAGAGACAGAACCCGGCUUAUAGUUUUGCCUUUUUU
Molecule: RNase P RNA, 372 nt
Filed under: Bacteroidia bacterium
Lineage: Bacteria; Pseudomonadati; Bacteroidota; Bacteroidia
Description: RNase P RNA component class A
Rfam family: Bacterial RNase P class A
About the family: Ribonuclease P (RNase P) is a ubiquitous endoribonuclease, found in archaea, bacteria and eukarya as well as chloroplasts and mitochondria. Its best characterised activity is the generation of mature 5'-ends of tRNAs by cleaving the 5'-leader elements of precursor-tRNAs.
Source: RNAcentral